CUAGUGUCCCUUAUGGCUCUAAUCUGAUAGUGGUAGUAGGGUGGUAGAUUCCUAGUGUCCCUUAUGGCUCUAAUCUGAUAGUGGUAGUAGGGUGGUAGAGUCCUAGUGUCCCUUAUGGCUCUAAUCUGAUAGUGGUAGUAGUGGGGGUGGCAGAUUCCUAGUGUCCCUUAUGGCUCUAAUAUGAUAGUGGUUGUAGGGUGGUGGAUGUCUAGUGUCCCUUAUGGCUCUAAUAUGAUAAUGGUAGCUCUAAUCUGAUAGUGGUAGUGGGGUUGUAGAUUCCUAGUGUCCCUUAUGGCUCUAAUAUGAUAAUGGCAGUAGGGUGGUGGAUUCCUAGUGUCCCUUAUGGCUCUAAUAUGAUAAUGGUAGUAGGGUGGUGGAUGUCUAGUGUCCCUUAUGGCUCUAAUAUGAUAGUGGUAGUAGGGUGGUGGAUGUCUAGUGUCCCUUAUGGCUCUAAUAUGAUAAUGGUAGGGGGGGGUGGCAGAUUCCUAGUGUCCCUUAUGGCUCUAAUCUGAUAGUGGUAGUGGGGGUGGCAGAUUCCUAGUGUCCCUUAUGGCUCUAAUCUGAUAGUGGUAGUGGGGGGUGGCAGAUUCCUAGUGUCCCUUAUGGCUCUAAUAUGAUAGUGGUAGUAGGGUGGUGGAUGUCUAGUGUCCCUUAUGGCUCUAAUAGGAUAAUGGUAGUAGGGUGGUGGAUGUCUAGUGUCCCUUAUGGCUCUAAUAUGAUAAUGGU
Molecule: long non-coding RNA, 726 nt
Organism: Oncorhynchus tshawytscha (Chinook salmon)
Lineage: Eukaryota; Metazoa; Chordata; Actinopteri; Salmoniformes; Salmonidae
Source: Ensembl